Molecule: ribosomal RNA, 250 nt
Filed under: uncultured prokaryote
Description: partial 16S rRNA
Rfam family: Bacterial small subunit ribosomal RNA
Source: RNAcentral
ACGUAGGGGUCAAGCGUUCUCCUUACUUAUUUGGCGUAAAGCGUGCGUGGGCGGUUUUUUAAGCGUGAGGUGAAAGGCAAUAGCUUAACUAUUGUAAGCCUUGCGAACUGGAAGACUUGAGUGCAGGAGAGGAAAGUGGAAUUCCUAGUGUAGCGGUGAAAUGCGUAGAUAUUAGGAGGAACACCAGUGGCGAAGGCGGCUUUCUGGACUGAAACUGACACUGAGGCACGAAAGCGUGGGUAGCAAACAG